CCCCGGCCUCCCGCCGCCCGCAGCACCGCCACGUUGCAGCCGGCCGAGAGCACGAAGAGCACGAAGGUGGCUGCCACGCGGGCCUGGGCCGCGGGCGAGAAGGUGGGGAGCAGCAGCGGCUCCUCGGCACCCUCGGAACGGGGGCUCCAGGCACAGCCCUGCUUGGGGUGGGACGUGCUGCUGGAGGGCUCCGUGCUGACGUUCCCCGCCUCAGGGCCUGGGUCCAGCCAGCCCCCUCCUGCUGCGAUAGGCAGAUGGGCAGCGUGGCCCGUGCAAGGCUGGGGGUGCUCGGGGGAUGGGGUGAACUACUGACCCACCAGAAGCCCACCUCAGCUCACGACAUUCCCAUCUGCACCCCCGACACCCCAGAGAACUGUGGGAUUCCGGCAUCGCAGGGACAAAGGCGCUCCCCGGCGCAGGAGCCCUUUGGUGCAGCACCCCAUGCUCCCUGCACCCAUCUCCCUGCACACCUCACCUGCAGCCGCAGCAUCCUGCUCCGUUCCCCCGCCGAGCCGGGCCAUGUCAGGGCUGCUCAAACACCGCCCACUCGCUGCUCCCAGUGCUCCCACAUUGGCACCAGCUACAGCCAGCCGGGACACAGGCAGCAGGGCCGGCACUGCAGCACUCUGCUGCCUGCAGCCACCUCCGCUCCCGCCCAGCAACCCGCCAGCUGCUGCCCAUGGGAUGCCCUUGGCGGCUCAGGUUGCUCCUUGACGUAGCCAACCUGCGUGGAACGGCUCCGUCCUUUACCCCGCAUCACCCACGCACAGAUGAGCGUGAACAGCCUCGUGCACACAGACACACGUGCACAAACGUGCACAGUGUGUUACCAGCCCAACAUGCCUGCACCGAGGCGCUGCGGGAUGCCCGGAGCUGGGGUUGCUACUGCAGAGCCGUGUGUGGGGGGCACAGUGCUCGUUGCUUUGGGGUGUAUCGUUUGUGGGGACCCGGAGAUCCACAGGUCCCAGCUCCCUGCUGCUCCGUAGGACCAGGGCUGCAGGCUGGGGGAGGGGAACGCGGCUCUUUUGCAUCUCAAAGGCUGCGUCUCCCAGGCGGAGGGCAUUACCGUAAUUAGCAAGUCACCUCAGUCAUUUCACAGAUAAGUGGGGCUCAUUAGCCCUGCAGACCUCCUGCCCCAGGGACCCCGGUGCGCGUUAGCAUCUGCCCGCCAGUCCCGGGAUGGGGCUCCGCACCGCUCGACGCCCCGACCCGCGGGGAUCCCCUGCAGCCACGUACCCGCCCUCCACCCGGGACCCGCCGGGUCUCCAGCUCGGCGGGGUGCAGCCCCCAGGUGACCCUGCGACGUGGGGCCCUCCCAGGCUCCGGGCACGGCGUGCGGACAUCGCUCAGCUGUCACUGAGCCGCACCUGGGCAGUGCUGGUGAGCUCCAUUCCCAGAGCUGGAGGUGUCUGUCCUGAUACCUCCCGGCAAUUGCUUUCCCAGAUGCUGUCCCCAGCUGCAUGCUGCCGGCUCAGGGCCCCGCAGCGGUGCUGGGUCUGUGUCACAGCCCCUGCCCGUGCCCGGAGAAAUGCCCUGGUGCGGUUUCCCCAGCACAGCUGUCCUCUCAGCCCCAGCAUGACGACUGUGCAUGUUGCACCCAUCCCGCGCCCAGCAGUUGCUGCAGGAAUGGCCACGUGGCGAUAGUCAGAGUGGGCAAAAGGGUUUAUUUAUGUACAGUCACAGUAUAUUAUGUACAGUCUCA
Meleagris gallopavo (turkey) is the source of this 1702-nucleotide non-coding RNA. The record is from RefSeq and is a predicted model, not a curated record. NCBI's taxonomy places the organism in Eukaryota, Metazoa, Chordata, Aves, Galliformes, Phasianidae.